GGGGAUGUUACGGAUUCGACGGGGGCAUUUGAACUUGAUAAGCAGGUCGUGCUUAACAUCACGUUAAACUGUAGAGGUUUAAAUAACCGGAAAAAAUAAUUUACAAUUCGCAGCUUAAUUAAAUAAGCUCGGCUCCAUUCGACUAUUGCCCAUGUAGUUGUCUAGGGGCUCAUUGAUAGUGGGCUACGCUAACAUCCGCCUCCUUAGGAUGUUAGAAGAAGAUGAAUAAGGAUCGCUAGCAAAUAGCCUGUCUAUCGGCAGUUUGUUCGUUAAAUUUUAAAGAUAGUCUAAACCUGUAGAAAGUCAAGUGUUCGGUGUUUUCGGACGCGGGUUCGACUCCCGCCAUCUCCACCA
This 354-nucleotide transfer-messenger RNA is filed under the name Haloplasmataceae. RNAcentral describes it as "Inordinaticella sp018394295 Standard tmRNA". It matches the Rfam family "transfer-messenger RNA". Rfam says of the family: Bacterial tmRNA, also known as 10Sa RNA or SsrA, is named for its dual tRNA and mRNA-like properties. Its role is to liberate the mRNA from a stalled ribosome. Lineage: Bacteria; Bacillati; Mycoplasmatota; Mollicutes; Haloplasmatales. RNAcentral also lists the same sequence under 1 other name. The record is from RNAcentral.